This 124-nucleotide small nucleolar RNA is filed under the name Hucho hucho (huchen). RNAcentral describes it as "Small nucleolar RNA SNORA63 (ENSHHUG00000035770.1)". Lineage: Eukaryota; Metazoa; Chordata; Actinopteri; Salmoniformes; Salmonidae. The record is from RNAcentral.
AAGCAGGAUAAGUUUCAGUGCAGCUUGUUCAGUGCUGUUCUGUCGUUCCCCCUGCACACAUCAAUUUGACUAUCCCUGUCUGUCUGCAUCCCACGGCAGACAGGGACACCUUGGUUUUAGACAC